RNAcentral lists this ribosomal RNA (274 nucleotides) under uncultured bacterium. Its description in RNAcentral is "partial 16S ribosomal RNA". It matches the Rfam family "Bacterial small subunit ribosomal RNA", at positions 523 to 796 of the family's 1533-position model. The record is from RNAcentral.
AUACGAAGGGGGCAAGCGUUGUUCGGAAUAACUGGGCGUAAAGCGCACGUAGGCGGAUUGAUCAGUUAGAGGUGAAAUCCCAGGGCUCAACCCUGGAACUGCCUUUAAUACUGUCAGUCUAGAGAUCGAGAGAGGUGAGUGGAAUUCCGAGUGUAGAGGUGAAAUUCGUAGAUAUUCGGAGGAACACCAGUGGCGAAGGCGGCUCACUGGCUCGAUACUGACGCUCAGGUGCGAAAGCGUGGGGAGCAAACAGGAUUAGAAACCCUUGUAGUCC